GUGCCAGCCGCCGCGGUAAUACGGAGGGAGCUAGCGUUGUUCGGAAUUACUGGGCGUAAAGCGCGCGUAGGCGGCUUAUCAAGUCAGGGGUGAAAUCCCGGGGCUCAACCCCGGAACUGCCUCUGAAACUGGUAGACUAGAAUACUGGAGAGGCGAGUGGAAUUCCGAGUGUAGAGGUGAAAUUCGUAGAUAUUCGGAAGAACACCAGUGGCGAAGGCGACUCGCUGGACAGUUAUUGACGCUGAGGUGCGAAAGCGUGGGGAGCAAACAGGAUUAGAUACCCGUGUAGUCC
This 292-nucleotide ribosomal RNA is filed under the name uncultured bacterium. RNAcentral's name for it is "partial 16S ribosomal RNA". It matches the Rfam family "Bacterial small subunit ribosomal RNA", at positions 505 to 796 of the family's 1533-position model. The record is from RNAcentral.